RNAcentral lists this ribosomal RNA (432 nucleotides) under uncultured bacterium. RNAcentral describes it as "bacterial SSU rRNA". It matches the Rfam family "Bacterial small subunit ribosomal RNA", at positions 346 to 794 of the family's 1533-position model. The record is from RNAcentral.
AGGCAGCAGUGGGGAAUCUUGCACAAUGGGGSRAAGCCUGAUCCAGCCAUGCCGCGUGAGUGAUGAAGGCCUUAGGGUUGUAAAGCUCUUUCACCCGGGAUGAUAAUGACGGUACCNGGAGAAUAAGCCCCGGCUAACUCCGUGCCAGCAGCCGCGGUAAUACGAAGGGGGCUAGCGUUGUUCGGAAUUACUGGGCGUAAAGCGCACGUAGGCGGAUUUUUAAGUCAGGGGUGAAAUCCCGGGGCUCAACCNCGGAACUGCCUUUGAAACUGGAUGUCUUGAAUCCGGGAGAGGUGAGUGGAAUUCCGAGUGUAGAGGUGAAAUUCGUAGAUAUUCGGAAGAACACCAGUGGCGAAGGCGGCUCACUGGACCGGUACUGACGCUGAGGUGCGAAASCGUGGGGAGCAAACAGGAUUAGAUACCCCUGGUAGA